UGAAGUUGACGGGGCCCGCACAAGCGGUGGAGCAUGUGGUUUAAUUCGAAGCAACGCGAAGAACCUUACCAGGUCUUGACAUCCCCUGACCAACCCGAGAGAUCGGCGUUCCCCUUCGGGGGACAGGGUGACAGGUGGUGCAUGGUUGUCGUCAGCUCGUGUCGUGAGAUGUUGGGUUAAGUCCCGCAACGAGCGCAACCCUCGACCUUAGUUGCCAGCAUUCAGUUGGGCACUCUAAGGUGACUGCCGGCUAAAAGUCGGAGGAAGGUGGGGAUGACGUCAAAUCAUCAUGCCCCUUAUGACCUGGGCUACACACGUGCUACAAUGGGCGGUACAAAGGGUCGCGAACCCGCGAGGGGGAGCCAAUCCCAAAAAGCCGCUCUCAGUUCGGAUUGUAGUCUGCAACUCGACUACAUGAAGUCGGAAUCGCUAGUAAUCGCAGGUCAGCAUACUGCGGUGAAUACGUUCCCGGGCCUU
Molecule: ribosomal RNA, 477 nt
Filed under: uncultured Anoxybacillus sp.
Lineage: Bacteria; Bacillati; Bacillota; Bacilli; Caryophanales; Anoxybacillaceae
Description: bacterial SSU rRNA
Rfam family: Bacterial small subunit ribosomal RNA
Source: RNAcentral